Molecule: ribosomal RNA, 730 nt
Filed under: uncultured Lactobacillus sp.
Lineage: Bacteria; Bacillati; Bacillota; Bacilli; Lactobacillales; Lactobacillaceae
Description: bacterial SSU rRNA
Rfam family: Bacterial small subunit ribosomal RNA
Source: RNAcentral
AACAGGAUUAGAUACCCUGGUAGUCCAUGCCGUAAACGAUGAGUGCUAAGUGUUGGAGGGCUCCCGCCCUUCAGUGCUGCAGCUAACGCAUUAAGCACUCCGCCUGGGGAGUACGACCGCAAGGUUGAAACUCAAAGGAAUUGACGGGGGCCCGCACAAGCGGUGGAGCAUGUGGUUUAAUUCGAUGCUACGCGAAGAACCUUACCAGGUCUUGACAUCUUCUGCCAACCUAAGAGAUUAGGCGUUCCCUUCGGGGACAGAAUGACAGGUGGUGCAUGGUUGUCGUCAGCUCGUGUCGUGAGAUGUUGGGUUAAGUCCCGCAACGAGCGCAACCCUUAUUGUUAGUUGCCAGCAUUUAGUUGGGCACUCUAGCAAGACUGCCGGUGACAAACCGGAGGAAGGUGGGGAUGACGUCAAAUCAUCAUGCCCCUUAUGACCUGGGCUACACACGUGCUACAAUGGACGGUACAACGAGUCGCGAAACCGCGAGGUCAAGCUAAUCUCUUAAAGCCGUUCUCAGUUCGGAUUGUAGGCUGCAACUCGCCUACAUGAAGUUGGAAUCGCUAGUAAUCGUGGAUCAGCAUGCCACGGUGAAUACGUUCCCGGGCCUUGUACACACCGCCCGUCACACCAUGAGAGUUUGUAACACCCAAAGCCGGUGAGGUAACCUUCGGGAACCAACCGUCUAAGGUGGGACAGAUGAUUAGGGUGAAGUCGUAACAAGGUAACC